UACCAGACUCCUACGGGAGGCAGCAGUGGGGAAUAUUGCACAAUGGGGGAAACCCUGAUGCAGCGACGCCGCGUGAGUGAAGAAGUAUUUCGGUACGUAAAGCUCUAUCAGCAGGGAAGAAAAUGACGGUACCUGAUUAAGAAGCCCCGGCUAACUACGUGCCAGCAGCCGCGGUAAUACGUAGGGGGCAAGCGUUAUCCGGAUUUACUGGGUGUAAAGGGAGCGCAGGCGGCACGGCAAGCCUGAUGUGAAAGCCCGCGGCCCAACCGCGGGACUGCAUUGGGAACUACCGGGCUGGAGUGCCGGAGAGGUAGGCGGAAUUCCUAGUGUAGCGGUGAAAUGCGUAGAUAUUAGGAGGAACACCGGCGGCGAAGGCGGCCUGCUGGACCGUAACUGACGUUGAGGCUCGAAAGCGUGGGGAGCAAACAGGAUUAGAUACCCCCGUA
This 446-nucleotide ribosomal RNA is filed under the name uncultured bacterium. RNAcentral describes it as "bacterial SSU rRNA". It matches the Rfam family "Bacterial small subunit ribosomal RNA", at positions 329 to 792 of the family's 1533-position model. The record is from RNAcentral.